GGAGGGGUCGCAUAGCCUGGUCUAGUGCGCACGCCUGGAGAGCGUGUGUCCCGAAAGGGAUCGCGGGUUCAAAUCCCGCCCCCUCCG
RNAcentral lists this transfer RNA (87 nucleotides) under Chloroflexota bacterium. RNAcentral describes it as "Chloroflexi bacterium (groundwater metagenome) tRNA-Ser". It matches the Rfam family "tRNA". From Rfam's summary of the family: Transfer RNA (tRNA) molecules are approximately 80 nucleotides in length. Their secondary structure includes four short double-helical elements and three loops (D, anti-codon, and T loops). The record is from RNAcentral. Lineage: Bacteria; Bacillati; Chloroflexota.